Molecule: ribosomal RNA, 565 nt
Filed under: uncultured ciliate
Lineage: Eukaryota; Ciliophora
Description: SSU rRNA
Rfam family: Eukaryotic small subunit ribosomal RNA
Source: RNAcentral
GAGAAACGGCUACCACAUCUAAGGAAGGCAGCAGGCGCGUAAAUUACCCAAUCCUGACUCAGGGAGGUAGUGACAAGAAAUAACGGACCGAAGCGUAUGUUUCGGGAUUGCAAUGAGUAGAAUUUAAACCCCUUUACGAGGAUCAAUUGGAGGGCAAGUCUGGUGCCAGCAGCCGCGGUAAUUCCAGCUCCAAUAGCGUAUAUUAAAGUUGUUGCAGUUAAAAAGCUCGUAGUUGGACUUCUGGGAGGGUGCCAAUGUCCGCUCGUUAGCGUGUGCAGCGGCGCCCUUCCAUCCUUCUGUUAACGUUUCUUGGUAUUCAGUUACUGGUUUCGGGCUCAGAUAUUUUACCUUGAGAAAAUUAGAGUGUUUCAGGCAGGCUUGCGCCGGAAUACAUUAGCAUGGAAUAAUAGAAUAGGACUUUAGUCUCCUUUGUUGGUUUGAGGGACUGAAGUAAUGAUUAAUAGGGAUAUAGGUGGGGGGCAUUAGUAUUUAAUUGUCAGAGGUGAAAAUUCUCGGAUUUGCUAAAGACUAACUUAUGCGAAAGCAUUUGCCAAGGAUGUUUUCA